UUACAUAGGUGCAGAAGAUGCUGAAAACUUUCUUGCUGCAAUUAUAGUUUUAGCAAUUCUGCUGCUCAUUUCACUUGUUAUCCUUGCUUACUUUAUCUAUCAAAAUCGUCGACUCAAAUCAUCAAAGGCAAACCCAGAGAACAAGAACAAGGACAGAAAUAAUUCAAAAGAUAUUUAUGAAAAUCCUGAGAAAAUCCAAGAUGAUGCGAAUUAUGAACAAGUGGAAAAUGAACACUCGACGUAUAAAGGUCUCGAAAAGACUGGGGAGGAAGAAAAUGAUGAUCACUUAUAUAGCCAUCUAAAUGAAGUAUACAAGGGCUACGUUAAUCAGAAGGAAAAUGGAAUUUAAGGGGGCUCUUGUACGAAGCCCGUCUGGUUUAUGUAGUGAAUAAGCUUAAUAUAGAUAAUAAGAAAUAAGCCAGCAUAAAUUUGUUAAAUAACCAAACUGAACUCUUUCGAUCGACUUGAAUAGAAGAUUACUAAUACCAAGUAAUUGUUGAACUGUUAUCAUAAUACCUGAAAUGUAUAAAACAUAAUCUAUAGCCGUGUUUACGUGAUUUAGGAAUUUUGACAUUUGUUAUUCCUGCAAUUUCAAAAACACCACAGUCUUCCCG
This 614-nucleotide long non-coding RNA is filed under the name Paramuricea clavata. Lineage: Eukaryota; Metazoa; Cnidaria; Anthozoa; Malacalcyonacea; Plexauridae. The record is from RNAcentral.